UACAGAGGGUGCGAGCGUUAAUCGGAAUUACUGGGCGUAAAGCGUGCGCAGGCGGUUUGUUAAGUCUGCUGUGAAAUCCCCGAGCUCAACUUGGGAAUUGCAGUGGAUACUGGCAAGCUGGAGUAUGGUAGAGGAAGGUGGAAUUCCCGGUGUAGCAGUGAAAUGCGUAGAGAUCGGGAGGAACACCAGUGGCGAAGGCGGCCUUCUGGACCAAUACUGACGCUCAUGCACGAAAGCGUGGGGAGCAAACAGG
Molecule: ribosomal RNA, 253 nt
Filed under: uncultured bacterium
Lineage: Bacteria
Description: partial 16S ribosomal RNA
Rfam family: Bacterial small subunit ribosomal RNA
Source: RNAcentral